AUUGAACGCUGGCGGCAGGCCUAACACAUGCGAGUCGAGCGGAUGAAGGGAGCUUGCUCCUGGAUUCAGCGGCGGACGGGUGAGUAAUGCCUAGGAAUCUGCCUGGUAGUGGGGGAUAACGUCCGGAAACGGGCGCUAAUACCGCAUACGUCCUGAGGGAGAAAGUGGGGGAUCUUCGGACCUCACGCUAUCAGAUGAGCCUAGGUCGGAUUAGCGAGUUGGUGGGGUAAAGGCCUACCAAGGCGACGAUCCGUAACUGGUCUGAGAGGAUGAUCAGUCACACUGGAACUGAGACACGGUCCAGACUCCUACGGGAGGCAGCAGUGGGGAAUAUUGGACAAUGGGCGAAAGCCUGAUCCAGCCAUGCCGCGUGUGUGAAGAAGGUCUUCGGAUUGUAAAGCACUUUAAGUUGGGAGGAAGGGCAGUAAGUUAAUACCUUGCUGUUUUGACGUUACCAACAGAAUAAGCACCGGCUAACUUCGUG
Molecule: ribosomal RNA, 484 nt
Filed under: uncultured bacterium
Lineage: Bacteria
Description: partial 16S ribosomal RNA
Rfam family: Bacterial small subunit ribosomal RNA
Source: RNAcentral